GCCUGGCUGGCUCAGUCAGCAGAGCAUGUGACUCCCGAUCUCGGGAUUAUAGGUUCGAUCCCUGUGUUGGGUA
RNAcentral lists this transfer RNA (73 nucleotides) under Canis lupus familiaris (dog). It matches the Rfam family "tRNA". Rfam says of the family: Transfer RNA (tRNA) molecules are approximately 80 nucleotides in length. The record is from Rfam by way of RNAcentral. RNAcentral also lists the same sequence under 1 other name. Lineage: Eukaryota; Metazoa; Chordata; Mammalia; Carnivora; Canidae.